AUUGAACGCUGGCGGCAUGCUUUACACAUGCAAGUCGAACGGCAGCGCGGGCUUCGGCCUGGCGGCGAGUGGCGAACGGGUGAGUAAUACAUCGGAACGUGCCCAGUAGUGGGGGAUAGCUCGGCGAAAGCCGGAUUAAUACCGCAUACGACCUGAGGGUGAAAGCGGGGGAUCUUCGGACCUCGCGCUAUUGGAGCGGCCGAUGGCAGAUUAGCUAGUUGGUGGGGUAAAAGCCUACCAAGGCGACGAUCUGUAGCUGGUCUGAGAGGACGACCAGCCACACUGGGACUGAGACACGGCCCAGACUCCUACGGGAGGCAGCAGUGGGGAAUUUUGGACAAUGGGCGAAAGCCUGAUCCAGCAAUGCCGCGUGUGUGAUGAAGGCCUUCGGGUUGUAAAGCACUUUUGGCGGGAACGAAAAGGACUGUGCCAAUACCACGGUUCGAUGACGGUACCCGCAGAAUAAGCACCGGCUAACUACGUG
RNAcentral lists this ribosomal RNA (484 nucleotides) under uncultured bacterium. RNAcentral's name for it is "partial 16S ribosomal RNA". It matches the Rfam family "Bacterial small subunit ribosomal RNA", at positions 29 to 507 of the family's 1533-position model. The record is from RNAcentral.